Macadamia integrifolia is the source of this 924-nucleotide long non-coding RNA. RefSeq lists it as uncharacterized. The record is from RefSeq and is a predicted model, not a curated record. The transcript is spliced from 2 exons. Lineage: Eukaryota; Viridiplantae; Streptophyta; Magnoliopsida; Proteales; Proteaceae.
ACAAUUUUUAUGUAACAAAUACAUAUUGAAAGAAAAUUUUCACCACACGUGCAUUUGCACGUGUGUUUUUGCUAGUAUAUAUAUUUUUGGUAAAUUUUCUUGUACCACCCCUAAAAAUGCCCAUAAUUUGGAGUAAUCCUCAAAAAUUAAUAUAAUAUCUACCACACCCCUAAUUUGUAACACCGUUAAUUGAAAGACCCUUUUACCCUUAUACUUAAACUCUAGAAAAGAGUCAAUUUUCUUCCAAACCCUUACAUUCUCUCUCUCACCAUGUGCUCAGCUGUGACCUUAGUUGGGUGAGUAUACUGUUAGCAACAAAAGGCAGCAGUUGCUUUGCAUAGAUUCAGUGACUCCGGCGAAUAUAACUUUUUAGCAGCAGUUGGAAUCAGCUGUGGUGGACAGCCCUCUAGCAGCAGAUCUUCAUCUGUGACCAUAGCAGCAGAUGAAGCCCUAGCAGCAACUGGUUUCGAAAGCUUUAUAGGAAGCCCUAGCAGCAACUAGAGUGACCCCCAUUUUUUGUCUGUAAGCCAAGAACUGAAGGUAAAUGGAGCAGAGCAAUGGUUGUCAGAGCGGCAUAGCAGAAGUCUGAGUAGAGGUUAGGGCUUUCACUCAGCAGAAGCUUCGUCACAAUGAGGUGCUUUCUCCUUCCUUUUGUCUUCGCAGGUAAACGAAGCAGAGCAGUAGUUCUUGGAGCGGCAUAGCAAAAGUCCGAGCAGAGGUUAGGGAUUUCAGUUUCCAGUUAGAGCAGCAGUUGUCAAUUUUGGGAAAGUUUAGUUCCCAAACUUUGCUUUACUAAUUGAGGGUGAAGGACAUUACGGUAACUUUAUAUACCCAUAAGGGUAGAUUGGCCAUUUAGACAAAAAAUGACUAAUGACAUCAUCCCUUAACUUCUUAAUCCUAAUGGAAUGGAUAUUUUAGAAAUAA